This 490-nucleotide ribosomal RNA is filed under the name uncultured bacterium. RNAcentral describes it as "partial 16S ribosomal RNA". It matches the Rfam family "Bacterial small subunit ribosomal RNA", at positions 30 to 507 of the family's 1533-position model. The record is from RNAcentral.
AUUGAACGCUGGCGGCAGGCCUAACACAUGCAAGUCGAACGGUAACAGGAAACAGCUUGCUGUUUCGCUGACGAGUGGCGGACGGGUGAGUAAUGUCUGGGAAACUGCCUGAUGGAGGGGGAUAACUACUGGAAACGGUAGCUAAUACCGCAUAACGUCGCAAGACCAAAGAGGGGGACCUUCGGGCCUCUUGCCAUCGGAUGUGCCCAGAUGGGAUUAGCUAGUAGGUGGGGUAAAGGCUCACCUAGGCGACGAUCCCUAGCUGGUCUGAGAGGAUGACCAGCCACACUGGAACUGAGACACGGUCCAGACUCCUACGGGAGGCAGCAGUGGGGAAUAUUGCACAAUGGGCGCAGGCCUGAUGCAGCCAUGCCGCGUGUAUGAAGAAGGCCUUCGGGUUGUAAAGUACUUUCAGCGGGGAGGAAGGGAGUAAAGUUAAUACCUUUGCUCAUUGACGUUACCCGCAGAAGAAGCACCGGCUAACUCCGUG